Molecule: ribosomal RNA, 254 nt
Filed under: uncultured bacterium
Lineage: Bacteria
Description: partial 16S ribosomal RNA
Rfam family: Bacterial small subunit ribosomal RNA
Source: RNAcentral
UACGGGGGGAGCAAGCGUUGUUCGGAUUUACUGGGCGUAAAGGGCGCGUAGGCGGCCACCGCAAGUCGACUGUGAAAUCUCCGGGCUUAACCCGGAAAGGUCAGCCGAUACUGCGGGGCUAGAGUGCAGAAGGGGCAACUGGAAUUCUCGGUGUAGCGGUGAAAUGCGUAGAUAUCGUAAGGAAGACCAGUGGCGAAGGCGGGUCUCUGGACAGUUCCUGACGCUGAGGCACGAAGGCCAGGGGAGCAAACGGG